This 425-nucleotide long non-coding RNA is filed under the name Physcomitrium patens. RNAcentral's name for it is "long non-coding RNA (PPAT_LNC007312)". Lineage: Eukaryota; Viridiplantae; Streptophyta; Bryopsida; Funariales; Funariaceae. The record is from RNAcentral.
GGCCGGUUAUGAACUAGGGUCGAAAUCAGACCCCGAGGCACAAAACCAAGUCUUGACAAUGAUUCACGAGUUCUUUUGCAGAUCAAAGAAUGAGGUUUGAUAGCAAGGUGGAUAGAAUUUCAUUGAGCAUGGAUUUUGUAUGAUUUGGAUUUGUAAUGACUUUGUAAGAGCUUUACAAAAUCAAGUUUAUUUUCAAUUGACUUGGGAUUUGUGAAUUAAAAUAGGAUUGAUAUUUUGGGUGAUUUCAAAAAUUUUGUAAUAGAUCUAUAGGUGAAAAUUUGUAAGUUAAUGGUUAUAGUUGUGCUUAAAAUGUAUUAUGAAUUUUAGCUAGAUCUAAUAAUUGAAUUAAGGAUUAUUGAGGUUUAAGUGAGUCAAGGUCUUAGAAAGUAGAAUCUUAGGUCUAAUGAGGGUUUUAAGAUUUCUUA